AGGCAUUGAUGGAUAGCUGGUCUGAGAGGAUGAUCAGCCACACUGGAACUGGAACACGGUCCAGACUCCUACGGGAGGCAGCAGUGGGGAAUCUUGCGCAAUGGACGAAAGUCUGACGCAGCCACGCCGCGUGAGUGAAGAAGGCCUUCGGGUUGUAAAGCUCUGUCGCCCGGGACGAAAAUCUAUUAGGUGAAUAGCCUAGUAGACUGACGGUACCGGGAAAGGAAGCACCGGCUAACUCCGUGCCAGCAGCCGCGGUAAUACGGAGGGUGCAAGCGUUGCUCGGAAUUAUUGGGCGUAAAGGGUAGGUAGGUGGUCUCAUUUGUCUGGGUGAAAGCCUUGAGCUUAACUCAAGAGGUGCCCCAGAAACGGUGAGACUAGAGUCUUGGAGAGGGUCGUGGAAUUCCCGGUGUAGCGGUGAAAUGCGUAGAGAUCGGGAGGAACACCAGAGGCGAAAGCGGCGACCUGGACAAGCACUGACACUCAACUACGAAAGCGUGGGGAGCAAACAGAAUUAGAUACCCUGGUAGUCCACGCUGUAAACGAUGGGUACUAGGUUUGGUGGGUCUUGACCCCCGCCGAACCGGCGCUAACGCACUAAGUACCCCGCCUGGGAAGUACGGUCGCAAGACUAAAACUCAAAGGAAUUGACGGGGGCCCGCACAAGCGGUGGAUCAUGUGGUUUAAUUCGAAACCACGCGAAGAACCUUACCUGGGUUUGACAUCCCCUGACAAACGUAGAGAUACGUCUUCUGUAGCAAUACAGCAGGGUGACAGGUGCUGCAUGGCUGUCGUCAGCUCGUGUGGUGACAUGUUGGGUUAAGUCCCGCAACGAGCGCAACCCUUGUCUUUAGUUGCCAGCAUUUAGUUGGGCUCUCUAAAGAGACUGCCGUGGUUAACACGGAGGAAGGUGGGGAUGACGUCAAGUCCUCAUGGCCUUUAUAUCCAGGGCGACACACGUGAUACAAUGGACGGUACAGAGGGACGCCAAGAGGCAACUCGGAGCUAAUCUCAAAAAGCCGUUCUCAGUUCGGAUUGGAGUCUGCAACUCGACUCCAUGAAGUUGGAAUCGCUAGUAAUCGCGGAUCAGCACGCCGCGGUGAAUACGUUCCCGGGCCUUGUACACACCGCCCGUCACACCAUGGGAGCUGACUCAACCAGAAGACGGUUAGGCUAACCGCAAGGGAGCCGCCGGCGAAGGUGGGGUUGGUGACUGGGGUGAAGUCGAAACAAGGUA
Molecule: ribosomal RNA, 1237 nt
Filed under: metagenome
Description: bacterial SSU rRNA
Rfam family: Bacterial small subunit ribosomal RNA
Source: RNAcentral